CGGCGCACAAGGAAGGGAGCUUGGACGGAGAAAUUGCUCACAAACAGAGGCACUGUUGGCAUCAAAUAAUGAGUAACCAGAGAUCUCAUAGAAGACUGCAAACUAUCACAGGGCAUUUAGCUAAAUCUCCUGGUUUGGAAACCUGUGCUCAAUCACCACANCAAACCCACAAGGAAUUUCCCGGGAGACAUGAUGAACUGAAGUGGAAUGGUUGGGGAUAUUCAGAUUCCAAGUUUGAUAUCAAUGAUAAAGGAAGGGCUUCUUUCACAGGGUCNAGAUAUUUGUUAAGUGGUCAAGUCUUUCCAAAGCUUGUGGAUUGGUUUGAAAAAGAAUGCAGUGCUGAUAUAACAAAAAAAAGCCCAGCAAAUCCUUUGCCAAAACCAGAAUCCCUGCCUAAACCAGUGAUAAAUGAAUCAUUCCUGGAGCAAAUGAAGCACUUGCACAUUGAACAUACUCUUGAUCCAAUCAUGAGGUUAAUGCAUGGUCAUGGCCACACUGGACAUGAAAUAUUUCUGUUGCGUCAUGGUCAUUUUGAGAGAAUUCCAGAUAUUGUGGUAUGGCCAAAAUGUCACAAAGAUGUGGAGAUGGUAGUGCAAGCNGCUGUCAAGUCUAAUGUGUGUAUUAUUCCCUUUGGGGGUGGUACAAGUGUGUCAAGUGCUNUAGAGUGUCCUAGUGAUGAGAACAGGAUGAUAGUGUCUAUGGACAUGACAGAGAUGAAGAGAAUAUUAUGGAUUGAUGAGGAAAACCUAGUUGCCCACAUUGAAGCAGGAAUCAUUGGAGAAGAUCUUGAACGGCAGCUUCAAGCUAAAGGUCUUUGUGUUGGUCANGAACCUGAUUCACUGGAAUUUAGUUCUCUUGGUGGCUGGGUCGCAACUCGUGCAUCAGGAAUGAAGAAGAAUAUCUACGGUAACAUCGAGGAUAUCAUAGUCCGUAUUAGAAUGGUAACACCUCAAGGAACUGUGGAGAAGAGCUGCCAGGUUCCACGCAUGUCUACAGGACCGGACAUUCAUCAUUUUAUUCUUGGUUCAGAAGGAACUCUUGGUGUAGUGACAGAGGUGACUCUACGCAUCCGUCCUGUCCCGCAAGCCAAGAUAUACGGAUCUGUCGUGUUCCCUACCUUUGAGGCAGGAAUUAUGGCUCUUCGUGAAGUUGCCAAGCAGCGUUGUGCACCAGCUUCUAUUCGCCUUAUGGACAACCAGCAGUUUCGUUUUGGCCAAGCGUUGAAGGGAGAGGAGGGGUCUUUUUUCAGGUCUCUUCUCGAUGGUAUCAAAGCUAUUUAUCUCACGAAGUUUAAAGGGUUUGAUCCAAAUACUUUGGCUGUGGCUACUUUACUAUUUGAAGGCACAAGCGAUGAAGUAUUGAUACAGCAGCGAAGAAUCUACGAGAUCUCUGCUAAGUUUGGAGGAAUUCCUGCUGGCGAAGACAACGGGAAAAGGGGAUAUAUGUUGACGUUUGUCAUUGCCUAUCUCAGAGAUCUGGGAUUCGAGCAUUAUUUUCUAGCAGAAUCCUUUGAGACGUCUGUUCCCUGGGACCGAGUCGCAACUCUUUGUGUGAAUGUGAAAGAAUGCAUCACAAGAACAUGUGCAGAGCUGGGAGUCANGUAUCGACCAUUAGCCACUUGCCGCGUCACACAGACCUACGACGCAGGAGCCUGUGUUUACUUCUACUUUGGAUUUAACUACCAGGGCAUCGAUCACCCUCUUGAAGUCUAUGAUGCAAUUGAGAGCGCGGCGAGAGAUGAGAUAUUGGCCAGUGGCGGUAGUCUUUCUCAUCACCAUGGAGUUGGAAAACUCAGAAAAAAAUGGUUACGAAAAACCAUUUCUGAUGUUGGCAUGGAAAUGAUAAAGUCAGUCAAGAAUUCAAUCGACCCAGAUAAUAUUUUUGGAAAUGGAAAUUUGUACUAGAUGAUAAUAUAUGNAACAUGGUAAACAUAUACGUUACAAAGUGAGGCUGAUAUAUUCAAUUGCUGAAAGGUUGUGGAUUGUGAUAUGUACUUAAGUAUAUGAUGAGAUUCAUAAAACAGAUNAUCAGAUGCAGUCAUCACUUUAAAUUUAUGACAAACAAGAGAAUAAUACCAAAUCAAUAACAUUCCAUGGGAAGAAUGCGCAUGUCUCAAUCUACAACCUUUUUGCAAUUGACUGUUUAUUAUUUCUGUGACUAUAUACCANGGUUUUUAAUUAUAUUCUUGAAUACUCUGCCUUCUGAAUAUUUUUAUUAGACAUUCAUAAUAAAUGCUCGAAAUGAUGAACACCAUCGCAAAAAAAUGAAAUGACAAUUACAACUUGCUGUUUUUAGGUAUUUUAUGAACAUGGACUGGGAAUAAUUAUUAAUAACAAAAAUGAGAUUAGGAUAAUACAAUUGAAACAAGAAUNUAUUCUGAUAAAAAUAAUAAUUCACGAUUUUGUGAAAAGUAAUGAAACUCAGUACGAAUUGAAUAACUGGGACGGAUUGUUCAAAGCUCCAUUACCGCUACUCUUGAACUAACUCGUAAAAGGACAUGGAUUAAACCUGUAGAGGAGGCUACUCUANAUGAAUUCUUUAUAUUACUAUAAUUAUUUGAUUUCUAGAAACUAUUAAUUUAAGGUAAAGGAGUAAAAACCCGUAAUAAAUUGUAUGAAGUGUAUUGUUCUCAGAGUGAAGGGUUUAGAGAUCCCUUUCUUAGUCUAUGAGUAUUUCUAAAUCAAAUGACCGAUUUUAUAUAUCAUAACUUAAUAACUAGAAGCAAAGGAAUAAAGUGAGAACAUGUUUUCUCAGAAUUUAAUUACAAGAGAUAACUGGCGCUAUACUUGUGGUGUGUUGUCUCGGUUUUUCUAAUAAAUAGUGAUUACGAGAAAAAUCUGCAUACACCGUAUAAAGGUAGACACAUCAACAAUUUUGGAAGUUAUUCUUUUUUCGGUUACUGUAUUACUCUUGUCUUUUGCUACGCGCAAAAUAAAAUAUCUUGAUUUCUCAUUC
Molecule: unclassified non-coding RNA, 2955 nt
Filed under: Exaiptasia diaphana
Lineage: Eukaryota; Metazoa; Cnidaria; Anthozoa; Actiniaria; Aiptasiidae
Description: alkyldihydroxyacetonephosphate synthase, peroxisomal, transcript variant X1
Source: RNAcentral